GGGCGCUUAGCUCAGCCGGGAGAGCAUCUGCCUUACAAGCAGAGGGUCGGCGGUUCGAUCCCGUCAGCGCCCACCA
Molecule: transfer RNA, 76 nt
Filed under: Paenibacillus contaminans
Lineage: Bacteria; Bacillati; Bacillota; Bacilli; Caryophanales; Paenibacillaceae
Also listed under: 1 other name
Description: tRNA-Val
Rfam family: tRNA
About the family: Transfer RNA (tRNA) molecules are approximately 80 nucleotides in length.
Source: RNAcentral